Nematostella vectensis (starlet sea anemone) is the source of this 1471-nucleotide long non-coding RNA. RefSeq lists it as uncharacterized. Lineage: Eukaryota; Metazoa; Cnidaria; Anthozoa; Actiniaria; Edwardsiidae. The transcript has 2 exons. The record is from RefSeq and is a predicted model, not a curated record.
GUUUUGUUGUCCAUUUUUUUGAUUAAGGAUGGUUUGUAAGGUUUUCCUUCCAUUCUUGAAGGUAGCCAGUUAGGGAAGUUAAGACUGUUACAGAAUGGAAGCUGAUGAGUGUAAAUUAACGAGGAAUGGGGCAAGCAUAACCCAAAAAAACUGAAGACAAAAGCUUUUUGAUUUUUGGUAAAGAAGCGAUGAAUACCAACAAAGAAAGCGAAAGUGAAUUCUGCUACCCCAGAGGCAAAAUUUGCAAGCAAAAGUCAAAACAACAAGAACAACAACAAAAGUGACCUUUCAAGACUAUAAAGAGAAGAUGCCUAACAACCAGUAGGAACUGAAAAUAUCAAUACAAGGGCAGAAGAGCAGGAAGGACAAUUGGAAAGACAUCAAGUGAUUUUAAUGUUUUUUGUUACUGCUGUAAGGUAUAUUUCAAUGAACCAAAACCAGUAAAAACAUUCUUUGAUUAUUAUAUUCAUACAAAAGUUCAUAUCACAUCACAAAAUUAAUGUCAUUCUGCUUUUGGCAAGUGUUCUUACCAGCGACCAGCCCUUUUGAUUGUGCUAUCAUCAGCACCACAUCUGGCUGCCCAGCGUGCUGCUGACCUUCUAAUGCUAUGUGUGGUGUAUGGCUUCUCAAAUAGGGCCUUGGUCAUCUACAAGCAAGAGGGAAAUAAUUAAUAAAUGCAUGUAUAAAAUAUUAGAGAGGGAGCACAAUUUUGUCUGCAUAUAUACCUGUAACAAGCAUGCAGUGCGACAUGCUUGAGAAUCCAGCAUACUUUGCAGGCACUGCCAAAGGCCACUACGGGUAGUGCGAGUGUGAUACAAAAUUAAGAAAAGUGCAUGGCAUGGUCAUAUUAUUAUAACAUUUGUAAGAAUCUCUAAAUUAGUUUUAAAAUUCCUGCAACCUUUCUCCUCAUUUUGUAUUUGCUUUGUAUUUGUUUUUGAAAGGAAACCACAAGAAUGAGAGAAAAACAGUAUUUUAUAAUUGUAAGCCAGGCGGAAAAACAAGUGAUAUUAUAUAAUUGACUGUUCCUUAUGACAAGAAAUUAGAGAUUUGAUUAAGAUAUUGAUGUACUGAUGUAUUUACCUUGGAAAAAAUAGUACGAUAUGAGGCCACACUUCGCUUUGAUGGAAGUGCACGUCGGUUGUCUUUGGCAAUGCGAGGGAAGAUGUAACCCUUCGUGAUUCCUAAUAAUAUAUCACUAGAUUAGAUUGCUAGGUUUCUAUUGUGAGUAAUGGUGGAGGUAAAUUAAAGGUAAGGUUUUCCUAAAAAUGAAAAAAAAAGGAAAAGAAAUAAAGAAAUAGGAUGUGUAGGGGCAACCCAGAAUGUGACAUUGUGCCUCUAAUAACUUACCAGAAAACAGCAGCCACGAAAUGAGUGCCAUAACAGGGCACAACUUAGGGUUUAGGGGAUUGGCCUAUAGCGACAGAUUAACCCCUGCAAUAUGUAAAUUAUAACAAUAUUAUAUACCUCAAAA